AUCCUUUUCCGGUUCAUAAGUGUGAUGAUUGGGUUCUCACGCGCUUGCGUGACAUGUGCCUCCCUCUAAACCUUGUUACGACGUGGGCACAUUACCCUUCUGACG
Dipodomys ordii (Ord's kangaroo rat) is the source of this 105-nucleotide non-coding RNA. The record is from Rfam. NCBI's taxonomy places the organism in Eukaryota, Metazoa, Chordata, Mammalia, Rodentia, Heteromyidae.